RNAcentral lists this ribosomal RNA (430 nucleotides) under Odontotermes assmuthi. RNAcentral describes it as "partial 16S ribosomal RNA". RNAcentral also lists the same sequence under 1 other name. The record is from RNAcentral. Lineage: Eukaryota; Metazoa; Arthropoda; Insecta; Blattodea; Termitidae.
CGCCUGUUUAUCAAAAACAUCUUUUCCUGUUGGUUUCUGAAGUAUGGCCUGCCCGCUGACGUAUUUUGAGUUGAAGGGCCGCGGUAUAUUGACCGUGCAAAGGUAGCAUAGUCAUUAGUUCUUUAAUUGUGAUCUGGUAUGAAUGGCUUGACGAGACAUGGGCUGUCUUGGGUGUAGAAUUUGUUGUUGAAUUUUGAGUUUAAGUUAAAAUUCUUAGAUGUUUUUAUGGGACGAGAAGACCCUAUAGAGUUUAACAUUUUAUUGCGUAUUUCUUGUUGUUUGUUUUAAAUUUUUACGUGUCUCUUGUUUUGUUGGGGUGAUGGGAGGAAUUUAUUUAACUCCUCUUUUUGUGUGGUAUAUCGAUGUAUAUAUUAUAUUGAUCCAUUUAUUUUGAUUGUAAGAUUAAAUUACCUUAGGGAUAACAGCGUAA